GGACUACACGGGUAUCUAAUCCUGUUUGCUCCCCACGCUUUCGCGUCUCAGCGUCAGCAACGAUCCAGAGGGCCGCCUUCGCCGCCGGUGUUCCUCCUGAUAUCUACGCAUUUCACCGCUACACCAGGAAUUCCACCCUCCUCUAUCGCGCUCCAGCCGGUUAGUUUCCGACGCACUUCCGGAGCUGAGCCCCGGGCUUUCACAUCAGACUUAGCCGACCGCCUACACGCCCUUUACGCCCAGUCAAUCCGAACAACGCUUGCACCCUCCGUCUUACCGCGGCGGCUGGCAC
Molecule: ribosomal RNA, 292 nt
Filed under: uncultured bacterium
Lineage: Bacteria
Description: partial 16S ribosomal RNA
Source: RNAcentral